UACGGGGGGGGCAAGCAUUAUUCGUCGUUAUUGGGCGUAAAGCGUCCGUAGACUGCAAUUUAAUCAUUAACAAAAAGACCGAAAGGCUUUCUGUGUAAGAACAUUACUCAUUUGUGGGGUUCGAUAAGCGGUUUGAUAAGUUAUUGCUAGAGUAUACCAGAGGUCAUCAUAACUCCAUAAGGAUUAGUAAAAUGAUGUGAUUUAUGGAAGAAUGCCGAUGGCGAAAGCAGAUGUCUAGGGUAUACUGACGUUGAGGGGCGAAGGCAAAGGGAGCAAACCGG
This 281-nucleotide ribosomal RNA is filed under the name uncultured bacterium. RNAcentral describes it as "partial 16S ribosomal RNA". It matches the Rfam family "Bacterial small subunit ribosomal RNA", at positions 524 to 776 of the family's 1533-position model. The record is from RNAcentral.